Molecule: ribosomal RNA, 301 nt
Filed under: uncultured bacterium
Lineage: Bacteria
Description: partial 16S ribosomal RNA
Rfam family: Bacterial small subunit ribosomal RNA
Source: RNAcentral
CAGCAGCCACGGUAAUACGUAGGUGGCAAGCGUUGUCCGGAAUUAUUGGGCGUAAAGCGCGCGCAGGCGGCCUAUCCAGUCUGUCUUAAAGGUUCGGGGCUCAACCCCGUGAUGGGAAGGAAACUAGUAGGCUAGAGUAUCGGAGAGGAAAGCGGAAUUCCUAGUGUAGCGGUGAAAUGCGUAGAUAUUAGGAAGAACACCAGUGGCGAAGGCGGCUUUCUGGACGAGAACUGACGCUGAGGCGCGAAAGCCAGGGGAGCGAACGGGAUUAGAUACCCCAGUAGUCCCUGUCUCUUAUACA